AAAUUGAAGAGUUUGAUCAUGGCUCAGAUUGAACGCUGGCGGCAGGCCUAACACAUGCAAGUCGAGCGGAAACGAGUURUCUGAACCUUCGGGGRACGAUAACGGCGUCGAGCGGCGGACGGGUGAGUAAUGCCUAGGAAAUUGCCCUGRUGUGGGGGAUAACCAUUGGAAACGAUGGCUAAUACCGCAUGAUGCCUACGGGCCAAAGAGGGGGACCUUCGGGCCUCU
Molecule: ribosomal RNA, 228 nt
Filed under: Vibrio parahaemolyticus
Lineage: Bacteria; Pseudomonadati; Pseudomonadota; Gammaproteobacteria; Vibrionales; Vibrionaceae
Description: partial 16S ribosomal RNA
Rfam family: Bacterial small subunit ribosomal RNA
Source: RNAcentral